This 299-nucleotide small nuclear RNA is filed under the name Erinaceus europaeus (western European hedgehog). Its description in RNAcentral is "7SK RNA". It matches the Rfam family "7SK RNA". Rfam says of the family: 7SK was discovered as an abundant small nuclear RNA in the mid-70s but a possible function has only recently been suggested. Two independent studies have found that 7SK RNA binds the CDK9/cyclin T complex (known as elongation factor P-TEFb). P-TEFb activates transcription by phosphorylating the C-terminal domain of RNA polymerase II. The record is from Rfam by way of RNAcentral. Lineage: Eukaryota; Metazoa; Chordata; Mammalia; Eulipotyphla; Erinaceidae.
GGAUGUGAGGGCGAUCUGGCUGCGACAUCUGUCACCCCAUUGAUCGCCAGGGUUGAUUUGGUUGAUCUGGCUGGCUAGGUGGGUGUCCCCUUCCUCCCUCACUGCUCCAUGUGCGUCUCUCCUGAAGGUGUGCACUCCAUCAAAGAGGACGGCCUUCCCCGAAAUAUAAAGGACCUGUCUUUGGUCAAGGGUAUAGGAGUAGCUGUGCUCCCCUGUUAGAACCUUCAAACAAGCUCUCAAGAAUAAAGGAUAAUAAGUAAGGGCAUAAAGUGAAACUUGAUCUGGGUAUGGCAUAUUUC